AGGCCAAGUCUAAUGGGAGGUCGUUUUCAAUUUUUGGAUUGGGGUUAUUCUACAAUGAAGUACGCUUGGUUGCUGUACUCUAAAUGCAUGGGAAGACGAAGAAAUAGCAUUUAUCGCGCAGAGAAGCAGCGAGCCAUUAGAAUGUCGCCAUCUUUCACGAAACAUCGAAGACACAAUAUCGAGGAUAAAUUACACUGCACUGGAUCAAAACGUCAUGAAACUUGGUUGAAAUCGUCUUUAGCCAUUUAUGAUUAUGUAAAAGUUCAAUAACUGGAUGAUAUUUGCGAGACUCGGCGAUAAAUAGCGAACAAAACAUCAAAAUAUGGCUGAAAUUUUGUUUUCGUGGAGGGGUAAGUGAAAUAAUAUGUAGUAUAUUUAAAGAAAACAAUGACAAUCUUGAUGAAAUCCACAAAAAUUAUAUUCAAGUAAGACAAAAUUUUUCUUCCAAAGACCACCCCUAAAACAACGGUUCUACGCUCUAUAUCCACUUCAGAAAGGCUAUCGCUUUUUUUUUUAAGUUAGAACUAUGUCGACACUGCCUUUUCAGGGCGGGGUCAUUUUCUGGACUUUAGCCCCGGAUUCAAGUUUUGGCACAUAUACCAUGUUGACUACCAUGGUCAUUUUACCCUAAAACAAUUGUAUUACCCGCUGUCCUAACUGAAGCGCAUGCGAACUCAUAUACAUGUCCUAAAUUAUUACGUGUUAGCAAACUAAUUUUUAAAAUUUGAAGUUGUUAAAAAUAAUACUGAAUAUAUUUUUCAAAAAAUAUCCGAAAGAAAAGUCCGUGAAUGCAGAUCUUGUGUAUAUAAUAAAACAGUUAUUCCACUCACUCUCGUCGAAUAUAAACGAUAGGCGAUUUGGCACCACGCGCCACAUUCGCUAUCAGCUCAUAUUGUACUCGAGUUCGUAGAAUAACUGUUAAAUAUUUCACUUUAUUACAUUGUAUCCCACACUAACUCAGUUUUAAAUUGAUACUCUUAGUUAAUCAAUCAUUUACCAAUACAUUUACUUCUAUCCACCUAUUAUUUUAUUUUGUGUCUGUCUAGAUGUUGAUGAAUGUUCUUUUGGUACUGACAACUGUCACAAUAAUGCUACAUGUAAUAAUACAGAUGGUUCAUUUGAAUGUAGUUGCAAUGACGGAUAUUCAGG
Paramuricea clavata is the source of this 1149-nucleotide non-coding RNA. Lineage: Eukaryota; Metazoa; Cnidaria; Anthozoa; Malacalcyonacea; Plexauridae. The record is from the annotation of a GenBank genome assembly.